RNAcentral lists this ribosomal RNA (504 nucleotides) under uncultured bacterium. Its description in RNAcentral is "bacterial SSU rRNA". It matches the Rfam family "Bacterial small subunit ribosomal RNA", at positions 9 to 507 of the family's 1533-position model. The record is from RNAcentral.
CGAGUUUGAUCCUGGCUCAGAUUGAACGCUGGCGGCAUGCCUUACACAUGCAAGUCGAACGGCAGCACGGGAGCAAUCCUGGUGGCGAGUGGCGAACGGGUGAGUAAUAUAUCGGAACGUGCCCGGUCGUGGGGGAUAACGUAGCGAAAGCUACGCUAAUACCGCAUACGAUCUACGGAUGAAAGCGGGGGAUCGCAAGACCUCGCGCGAUUGGAGCGGCCGAUAUCAGAUUAGGUAGUUGGUGAGGUAAAGGCUCACCAAGCCGACGAUCUGUAGCUGGUCUGAGAGGACGACCAGCCACACUGGGACUGAGACACGGCCCAGACUCCUACGGGAGGCGGCAGUGGGGAAUUUUGGACAAUGGGCGAAAGCCUGAUCCAGCAAUGCCGCGUGCAGGAAGAAGGCCUUCGGGUUGUAAACUGCUUUUGUACGGAACGAAAAGGCUCUUUCUAAUAAAGAGGGCCCAUGACGGUACCGUAAGAAUAAGCACCGGCUAACUACGUG